This 253-nucleotide ribosomal RNA is filed under the name uncultured bacterium. RNAcentral's name for it is "partial 16S ribosomal RNA". It matches the Rfam family "Bacterial small subunit ribosomal RNA", at positions 524 to 776 of the family's 1533-position model. The record is from RNAcentral.
GACAGAGGGUGCAAGCGUUGUCCGGAUUCAUUGGGCGUAAAGAGCGUGUAGGCGGCCAGGUAGGUCCGUUGUGAAAACUCGAGGCUCAACCUCGAGAUGUCGGCUGAAACCAUCUGGCUAGAGUCCGGAAGAGGAGAAUGGAAUUCCCGGUGUAGCGGUGAAAUGCGCAGAUAUCGGGAGGAACACCGGUGGCGAAGGCGGGUCUCUGGGCCGAUACUGACGCUGAGGAGCGAAAGCGUGGGGAGCGAACAGG